AAUAGAUACCCAGGUAGUCCACGCCGUAAACGAUGAGUGCUAAGUGUUAGAGGGUUUCCGCCCUUUAGUGCUGCAGCUAACGCAUUAAGCACUCCGCCUGGGGAGUACGGCCGCAAGGCUGAAACUCAAAGGAAUUGACGGGGGCCCGCACAAGCGGUGGAGCAUGUGGUUUAAUUCGAAGCAACGCGAAGAACCUUACCAGGUCUUGACAUCCUCUGCCAACCCUAGAGAUAGGGCGUUCCCCUUCGGGGGACAGAGUGACAGGUGGUGCAUGGUUGUCGUCAGCUCGUGUCGUGAGAUGUUGGGUUAAGUCCCGCAACGAGCGCAACCCUUGAUCUUAGUUGCCAGCAUUCAGUUGGGCACUCUAAGGUGACUGCCGGUGACAAACCGGAGGAAGGUGGGGAUGACGUCAAAUCAUCAUGCCCCUUAUGACCUGGGCUACACACGUGCUACAAUGGAUGGUACAAAGAGCUGCGAACCCGCGAGGGUAAGCCAAUCUCAUAAAAGCCAUUCUCAGUUCGGAUUGUAGG
This 530-nucleotide ribosomal RNA is filed under the name uncultured bacterium. RNAcentral's name for it is "bacterial SSU rRNA". It matches the Rfam family "Bacterial small subunit ribosomal RNA", at positions 777 to 1304 of the family's 1533-position model. The record is from RNAcentral.